This 5819-nucleotide long non-coding RNA is filed under the name Gossypium barbadense (sea-island cotton). Its description in RNAcentral is "long non-coding RNA (GBAR_LNC006970)". Lineage: Eukaryota; Viridiplantae; Streptophyta; Magnoliopsida; Malvales; Malvaceae. The record is from RNAcentral.
AUAUAUAGCUUAUUGAUGGUUAAAUCACACUUUUCAUCAAACCUGACUAUUAGGCUCUAUUUAUGAAGCUAAACCUAUGAAGCACGGACAAGAUUUGUAUUGAGAAGAUAUAUUUCCUUUGAAUUGUAUUGAAAUUCAGUUGGGUAUGUUUUAAGUAUGCAAGCUUCUUAUUCAAUCCACAAAUUGUCAAACAUGGCAUCUAGAACAUUGUUUGUUAGGUGUAACGUUAUCACGUGUAGUAGGCAAUAAUCUGACAGUUGUCAGAUAUUAGUAAAAUUAGCAAUAACGAUGCUAAUAACACAUGAAAAAGAUUGGUAGACAAGUCUGGAGGCUUAUGCAUUGUAAGGAGACUCUAUGCUCUAAGGUGCUGAGCGCGAAAUAUUUCCCGGAGGGUGAUGUGCUUAGACCAAAAUGUUGUGAGAAGCCAUCUUUUACUUGGUCUAGCAUUGCUAAAGCGAUUAACGCCCUCAAGGAUGGCUUUCGGUGGCAGAUUGGGGAUGGUAAAUCUAUCGACAUUCGCAGGGAUCACUGGGGUAUCGAAGGUCUCAAUGGGGAGUCGGUUUGUCGGUCAAGUUUAACAAAUGAAGGAAGAAAUGUCAAAGACCUAUGGGACUACAAUUAUGGGCGGUGGAAAAAGGACAGGGUUACGGAAUUAUAAGGUAAAAACAUGGGGGAUUUAAUUUGAAAUUUACCCAUUCUCCAUAAUGGCAUAAAUGAUAGCAGAACGUGGAUCCAAAACCCUCAUGGUGUUUACACCUCAAAAUCAGCUUAUUCAUGGUUAUUACUUAGAAGAAUAGGCUACGGCCCUCACAAAUUGAUUUGGAGAAUUAUAUGGAAGUUAAAAAUGCUUUCUAAAAUUAAAUUCUUUAGCUGGAGGAUCUGUCACAAUAUUCUGCCUACCUACGAUAAUAUUGCUCGUAUCCGUCAAGAGUUCUCGCAAGCCUGCCCCAGAUGCAAAAUGCGAGAAUGAAACGCUCAUCCACGCUCUGAAAGAUUGCCCUAAAGUUCGAGAGAUACUCAUGAUCGGGGGGAUAAAUAACAGGCUGAUUGAUGGAAGAUAUGAACGGUGCAUCGACUGGCUGGAAGAUGUUCUGCGUGUGUUGGACAAAAAAGUAGCGGCUGAUUUUUUCACCCUCCUCUGGAAUUGCUGGAAUGACAGAAACAAUCUGGUUUUUCAGGGGAAGGAAGACAUGGCCAUGGUGGUUUGGGAAAGAGCGCAGACUCUCAGCAAAGAUUUCCAUAUUUUCAAUUUUGCAGCACCCCCUGUUAUCCCCUUAACCCCGAUAAGUAAAGGGUGGACGAGACCUCCAGCUGGUGUUAUUAAGAUUAACGUCGACGCGGCAGUCGUGGAUAGGAAAGCUGGGUACGGAGCCAUUGCCAGAGACCAUGAUGGCUUUGUGGUCGGGGGUAGCUAUAGUUUUGCGGAUAAAAUUCAAGACGUUAAAUGGGCGGAAUUUGACGCUUUUGUGGAAGGUUUAAAUCUGGCUUUAAAGCUGAAUGUGGAUAAGCUCAUAUUGGAAUCUGAUAGUGCGUCUCUUGUCAACGCGGUUAAAAAGAGGGACCAAGACAUUACCAUUUUGGGCUGCUGUGUUAAUAAAGCCUGUAAAAAGCUUAAUGAUUUUAAUUCGGUCCAAGCGAUUAAGGAUAAGUGUUGACCUUUGGGUUGUUUUUGUCAAAAAAAAAAAGAAAAAGAGAAGAAACUUUUAGUGUUGGUACUAAGCAGUAGCAGACAUUGAAACCUCAGUGAAUAUAAUAAUGGCAGUAAAGUACAAAACACUCAUAGAAUGGAUAUGAGCAAUAACAAAUAAAAACCAACCUGUUUGUGUUGAUAUAUUGAGCAAGAUAUUUGGAGAGUAUAAUAAGUGAACCAGAUGCAUGCCGGAAAUACUUGAAGGGAAGAACAUAAUAGUAUGAAAACACAAAAUAGAAAAAAUAUGGUAAUGCAAACAUCAAGCUAGAUAACUUACGAUUUCUCAUCCCCAAAUUUCCACUCUUCAGGUUCAUACCAAAGCUUUCCCCUGAAAACAAGAUAUCCAAAAGCUGAACUUAAAAUGUAAACAACUCAAGCUCAAAGUAGCAUUUGAAAGAAUGAAUAUCCUCCAAUAUUUUCAAGGGAAAGUAACCAGAGUCAAAUAUACAAAGAUUUACAAGAAAAAGAAAAGAAUGUCCAAACAUGACAUAAGAACUAUCUUUUAUCGUGAUAUAAUGACAGACUAAGAUAAAAAAAAAUACGUACUCUUCAGAAACCACUUCUCCUGCCUUCAUGCAUCCAAUAUAAGCCCUAUCUUGGUGACGUCGAUGUUCAAGAAGUCCAAUCAACCCCUCUGUCAUGUAGGAAAAAAAGGAGUGAAUGAUUUAUCAAAGUUUCAGUUAAUAAAGCGCAACAAGCCAAAAGCCAAAAAAAGUUGUGAUAUUCUAUCCAAAUGAAAAGGGAAAAAGUCCUACCUAGGUCAACGUCAAUAUUAUCAUCAACUUUAAUGUAAAAUUCGGUGUCCGUUCAUCCGCCUCCACAAUCACCAUGCGGCUCAUCCGAAUAGAACAGGCAAAUUGGGCAGACGGAUCCUAUAGCUACCGUUGGAGAGAACCGAAACAGUGGGAAAAUUUCCAAGAAUGAAACACUUAUGAAUCUUAAGAGAAUUUCAUACAGAAACAGUUUAAAGGAAUGAAAUAGCACAAAUAACGUAACAUAAAUUCCUACCAGGAAAUUGACAAACAGAAAUGAAUGAAAAAUAAAAGAAAAAGGCAAACAUUUUGAAUCGUUGUGUAGAGUUGGAGGCACGUCAAAUUUUGGGAGGAUUAGAGGCGGGAUAUCUGUGGAAACAAUUGAAACGAUGCGUGGUGGAAACAAUUGAAACGGUGAGUUUUGAAUUAGUAAAUCAUGAACAGUUUAUGUUUUUUAAGCUUCGAAAACUUUGAAAGGCCAUAACUUUUCGCUCGGUUGUCCAAUUGAGACGAUUUUUUUUAUUUCGAAUAACUUUUCGAGAUAUACGCCUGAUAAACUUAUUCAAAACUAGUAGACCUAUUUUUACGGCGUUACAAACACAACAUACUUUGGAAAAUUUGCGAUUACAAGUAGGUUUGGACAAUUAGGAUUGUGAUCGAGAAGCUUCUAUCAAAGAUAAGCAGACCAUGUUGAGUCAAAUUUGCGAUUACAAGUAGGUUUGGACAAUUAGGAUUGUGAUCGAGGAGCUUCUAUCAAAGAUAAGCAGAAUUUGGUGGUCUGGAAAGGAAAGAGGAAAAUAUUGGGCGAUACUCCCGUGGAAGAAGUUGUGUGCCAGCAUAAAAAGAUGGGGUUAUUAGUACUCACGAUAUUCAUGAGUGAUAUAUUUCUGAAAAUAUUUUUAUUUUCCGGAAUAUUAUUUACCUAUUUAGUUAAUAUUGUAACUUCUCUCCAUUUUAAAUUAUUUUUCAAUAAAAUAUUUACUCUAAACAAAAAAUAUUUAAAACCAUAAAAUUGAUUUCUCAAAAAAUAUUUUUUAUUUCCCGGAAUAUUAUUUACCUAUUUAGUUAAUAUUGUAAUCUCUCCAUUUUAAAUUAUUUUUCAAUAAAAUAUUUACUCUAACCCAAAAAUAUUUAAAACCAUAAGAUUGAUUUCUCAAAAAAUAUUUUUAUUUUCGGAAAUAUUAUUUACCGAUUUUUAAAUGAAAUUAAGCUAACUAUUUUUUAAAAAAAAAACAAUGACUAGUAAAAGAGGAAAAUAUUGGGUGAUACUACCGUGGAAGAAUUUGUGUGUCAGCCUAAAAAGAUGGGGGUAUUAGUAUUCACGAUAUUCGUGAGUGAAAUAUUUCUAAAAAUAUUUUUAUUUUUCGGAAUAUUAUUUACCUAUUUAGUUAAUAUUGUAACUUCUCUCCAUUUUAAAUUAUUUUUCAAUAAAAUAUUUACUCUAACCAAAAAAAUUUAAAACCAUAAAAUUGAUUUCUCGAAAAAUAUUUUUAUUUUCGGAAAUGUUAUUUACCGAUUUUUAAAUGAAAUUAAGCUAACUAAUUUUUUUUUAAAGAAAUUAGUAGUAAACCCGAUUAACUCCUAGCUUUCACCCGGAACCCGAUAAACUUACUCAAAACUAGUAGAGAUAUUUUUAAGGCGUUACAAAUACAACAUAGUUUGGAAAAUUUGCGAUUACAAGUAGGUUUGGACAAUUAGGAUUAGACAAAGGGUUUUUGAAGGUUGUUGAGAUAUGUUUGGUACUAAAAGAUUAACUAUGAUCUUUUGAAUUAUGUGAAGAAAAGUAGGAUCGAAGAUAACUCUGGACAAGUACGAAUGGGAUUUAGCAAACAAUGUAAAAUAACUUUUCAAUGUUGUUUGGCUAAAUACAAAAGUUAUGAGUAUGAAACCAAAAUGUUGAUUUUGAACAGAAUAAAAAAUGUGGUGCGGAAUGCAUCGAUAUAGCAAAAGGAGGAGUCUACAAUAAAAAAAGAAUUGCCUCAAGAAUGUAAUCAACAUUUGACUAAAUGCAUGAAUCGAUAUAGUAAAUGAGGUAACCUCAGUAACAAUGGUUGAUUGUAAAAGUAAUAUAAUUAGUGAAUGAACCAAGGAAAGAUUUGGUAAACAUAUAUAGCUUAUUGAUGGUUAAAUCACACUUUUCAUCAAACCUGACUAUUAGGCUCUAUUUAUGAAGCUAAACCUAUGAAGCACGGACAAGAUUUGUAUUGAGAGGAUAUAUUUCCUUUGAAUUGUAUUGAAAUUCAGUUGGGUAUGUUUUAAGUAUGCAAGCUUCUUAUUCAAUCCACAAAUUGUCAGACAUGGCAUCUAGAACAUUGUUUGUUAGGUGUAACGUUAUCACGUGUAGUAGGCAAUAAUCUGACAGUUGUCAAACAUUAGUAAAACUAGCCAUAACGACGCUAAUAACACAUGAAAAAGAUUGGUAGACAAGUUUGGAGGCUUAUGCAUUGUAAGGAGACUCUAUGCUCUAAGGUGCUGAGCGCAAAAUAUUUCCCGGAGGGUGAUGUGCUUAGACCAAAAUAUUGUGAGAAGCCAUCUUUUACUUGUUCUAGCAUUGCUAAAGCGAUUAACGCCCUCAAGGAUGGCUUUCUGUGGCAGAUUGGGGAUGGUAAAUCUAUCGACAUUCGCAGGGAUCUCUGGGCUAUCGAAGGUCUCAAUGGGGAGUCGGUUUGUCGAUUUACACCUCAAAAUCAGCUUAUUCAUGGUUAUUACUUAGAAGAAUAGGCUACGGCCCUCACAGAUUGAUUUGGAGAAUUAUAUGGAAGUUAAAAAUGCUUUCUAAAAUUAAAGUCUUUAGCUGGAGGAUCUGUCAUAAUAUUCUGCCUACCUACGAUAAUAUUGCUCGUAUCCGUCAAGAGUUCUCGCAAGCCUGCCCCAGAUGCAACAGCGAGAAGGAAACGCUCAUCCACGCUCUGAAAGAUUGCCCUAAAGUUUGAGAGAUACUCAUGAUCGGGGGAAUAAAUAACAGGCUGAUUGAUGGAAGAUAUGAACGGUGCAUCAACUGGCUGGAAGAUGUUCUGCGUGUGUUGGACAAAAAAGCAGCGGCCGAUUUUUUCACCCUCCUCUGGAACUGCUGGAAUGACAGAAACAAUAUGGUUUUUCAGGGGAAGGAAGACAUGGCCAUGGUGGUUUGGGAAAGAGCGCAGGCUCUCAGCAAAGAUUUCCGUAUUUUCAAUUUUGCAGCACCCCCUGUUAUCCCUUUAACCCCGAUAAGUAAAGGGUGGACGAGACCUCCAGCUGGUGUUAUUAAGAUUAAUGUCGACGCGGCGGUUGUGGAUGGGAAAUCUGGGUACGGAGCCAUUUCCAGAGACCAUGAUGGCUUUGUGGUCGGGGGUAGCUAUAGUUUUGAGGAUAAAAUUCAGGACGUUAAAUGGGCGGAA